GCCGGUUUCCCUAGAUGAUCUUCACCGGUUGUCCUGGGUGACCGGCACGUUUACUUUGAAAAAAUUAGAGUGCUCAAAGCAGGCGUGUAGCCUGAAUAAUGGUGCAUGGAAUAAUGGAAUAGGACUUCGUUUCUAUUUUGUUGGUUUUCGGAACACGAGGUAAUGAUUAAGAGGGACAGACGGGGGCAUUCGUAUUGCGACGCUAGAGGUGAAAUUCUUGGACCGUCGCAAGACGAACUACUGCGAAAGCAUUUGCCAAGAAUGUUUUCAUUGAUCAAGAACGAAAGUUAGAGGUUCGAAGGCGAUCAGAUACCGCCCUAGUUCUAACCAUAAACGAUGCCAACCAGCGAUCCGCCUGAGUUCCUCAAAUGACUCGGCGGGCAGCUUCCGGGAAACCAAAGUGUUUGGGUUCCGGGGGAAGUAUGGUUGCAAAGCUGAAACUUAAAGGAAUUGACGGAAGGGCACCACCAGGAGUGGAGCCUGCGGCUUAAUUUGACUCAACACGGGAAAACUUACCCGGCCCGGACACUGGAAGGAUUGACAGAUUAAGAGCUCUUUCUUGAUUCAGUGGGUGGUGGUGCAUGGCCGUUCUUAGUUGGUGGAGCGAUUUGUCUGGUUAAUUCCGAUAACGAACGAGACUCUAGCCUACUAAAUAGGCGUCCCGAUCACUUCUGUCGGGCGUUCUUCUUAGAGGGACAAGUGGCGUUUAGCCGCACGAGACAGAGCAAUAACAGGUCUGUGAUGCCCUUAGAUGUCCGGGGCCGCACGCGCGCUACACUGAAGGAAUCAGCGUGUGCUUUCCCUGUCCGGUAGGACUGGGUAACCCGUUCAACCUCCUUCGUGAUAGGGAUAGGGGCUUGUAAUUGUUCCCCUUGAACGAGGAAUUCCCAGUAAGCACGAGUCAUAAGCUCGUGUUGAUUACGUCCCUGCCCUUUGUACACACCGCCCGUCGCUACUACCGAUUGAAUGAUUUAGUGAGGUCUUCGGACUGGCGCUCGGAGCGGCCGCAAGGUCGCGCCGG
This 1021-nucleotide ribosomal RNA is filed under the name Monocentropus sp. ZSM-A 2017/0076. RNAcentral describes it as "SSU rRNA". It matches the Rfam family "Eukaryotic small subunit ribosomal RNA", at positions 702 to 1743 of the family's 1831-position model. RNAcentral also lists the same sequence under 1 other name. Lineage: Eukaryota; Metazoa; Arthropoda; Arachnida; Araneae; Theraphosidae. The record is from RNAcentral.